UGGGAAUAUUGCACAAUGGGGGAACCCUGAUGCAGCAACGCCGCGUGAGUGAAGAAGUAUUUCGGUAUGUAAAGCUCUAUCAGCAGGGAAGAAAUGACGGUACCUGACUAAGAAGCACCGGCUAAAUACGUGCCAGCAGCCGCGGUAAUACGUAUGGUGCAAGCGUUAUCCGGAUUUACUGGGUGUAAAGGGAGCGCAGGCGGUCUGGCAAGUCUGAUGUGAAAGCCCGGGCUCAACUCCGGGAUUGCAUUGGAAACUGUCAGACUAGAGUGUCGGAGAGGUAAGUGGAAUUCCUAGUGUAGC
RNAcentral lists this ribosomal RNA (303 nucleotides) under uncultured Roseburia sp. Its description in RNAcentral is "bacterial SSU rRNA". It matches the Rfam family "Bacterial small subunit ribosomal RNA", at positions 356 to 679 of the family's 1533-position model. The record is from RNAcentral. Lineage: Bacteria; Bacillati; Bacillota; Clostridia; Lachnospirales; Lachnospiraceae.